GCAGUAUUCUGAGACAGUUGAGGAAAUAUGCUUUAGGCAGUUAAGAGAGUCUGCUAAGUUGAAAGAGUGUGUGAGUAUAUAGAGGAAUGAGAGAAUGGGGGAGGGGGCAGGCAAUGUAAAACAGAUUUAUAAAUGGGGAUAUUUCUCUUUGAUUGUAUAUUUGACCUGCCCGAUGAGGCAUGUGUGUCUUCGCCUGAUUCCCUCUUCACGGAUAUAGUAAAAUUGCCCCUGUUAGAUAGUGGAUCCAAUUCUUAAACUGACUAUGACUAGCCAGAGCUUCAGGAGAUGCCACUUUCUUCCAAGGCUUUACAAUAUGUAUCUUAAUGUAUUUAUAAUUCAGAACUUAUAAUACACUUAAUAAAGCAAUUAUUAUUUGUUGCUGUUUUCCCAAAGGAGAAAAAAAGAAUUCUCCACCCUCGGUUUAUAAGUUAUUGUUAGUAAAAAAAAAAAAUUUUUUAUUAGCUUUCACAAUAUUAUAAACCAACAAACACAUAAGACAAACAAACAUAAAUCAUAGCCUUAUUGAAAAUUACACUUAUUAACUUUGUUAGGUGACGUCCUCGCUUCCCCUUGGUUGAAUUUCAUUGCAUGUCCUUUUAACAGUUUUCCAAAUCCCAAUUCUUAUAAUAUUUAACUUAGACAGUUAAAGUCUAAUGUCUAAUGUUAUUGUUAGUAAAUAUUAAUGUGCCUUAAGAUGAAUGGCUUAAAAGCUCUAUUACUUGCUGAAUCUUUUAGUAUUUAUUGUCAGUUGGUUUACAACAAUAGGCUUUGCCUCUUCCACGAGUCUGAAGGACAAUGUCCACUUGAACCUCUCUCACACACGCAUACGCAGACAUGAAUAGGUAGCACAUGGGCAGAGGGUAAGCCCUAUAAAUGUCUGCAUGGUUUCUCACUGCCUGCUGGGGUGAAAGUGUGUGUGUGGUGGAGAGAGGAUGGCCUUGGGUCCCACAUUCUCACGACUCAUUUAUUUAUCUAUUAUGCAGAGCAUUUGUAUCCUGCUCUACAGUCAAAACCAGCUCCCCAAGCCGCUCACAUGCAAUUCACACAAGUCCCUGCACACGGGCUUACAAUCUAAAAAUGCACUCAUAGAGAAAAGAUAACCAACCAGACUAUGAAGAAAAGCAAGAGAAACAAAUCCGAGGAGGAGAAGGAAAAAGAGGAGGAGAAGGAGGAGGAAAAAGAGGAGGAGGAGGAGGAGAAGGAGGAGGCAACAAGCCUUUUUCAAACGCAGCACUUUAAAACGCGAGAUGAAUGCCCCACUCUCUGCAGCUUUUCCAAAGGCCGGGAACAUGCCGGCCCGGGGGCGAUGGACCAUAUUGCUGCCCGGCUGCCCCCCCCCGACCCC
Podarcis lilfordi (Lilford's wall lizard) is the source of this 1345-nucleotide non-coding RNA. Lineage: Eukaryota; Metazoa; Chordata; Lepidosauria; Squamata; Lacertidae. The record is from the annotation of a GenBank genome assembly.